Molecule: ribosomal RNA, 583 nt
Filed under: Empedobacter sp.
Lineage: Bacteria; Pseudomonadati; Bacteroidota; Flavobacteriia; Flavobacteriales; Weeksellaceae
Description: bacterial SSU rRNA
Rfam family: Bacterial small subunit ribosomal RNA
Source: RNAcentral
AGUUCUUUCGGGAACUAGAGACCGGCGCACGGGUGCGUAACGCGUAUGCAACUUGCCCUACUGAAAAGGAUAGCCCUUCGAAAGGAGGAUUAAUACUUUAUAACAGAUUUAAUGGCAUCAUUAGAUUUUGAAAGAUUUAUCGCAGUAGGAUAGGCAUGCGUAAGAUUAGUUAGUUGGUGAGGUAACGGCUCACCAAGACGAUGAUCUUUAGGGGGCCUGAGAGGGUGAACCCCCACACUGGUACUGAGACACGGACCAGACUCCUACGGGAGGCAGCAGUGAGGAAUAUUGGACAAUGGGUGGAAGCCUGAUCCAGCCAUCCCGCGUGUAGGAUGACGGCCUUAUGGGUUGUAAACUACUUUUAUCUGGGGAUAAACCUACUUACGUGUAAGUAGCUGAAGGUACCAGAAGAAUAAGCACCGGCUAACUCCGUGCCAGCAGCCGCGGUAAUACGGAGGGUGCAAGCGUUAUCCGGAUUUAUUGGGUUUAAAGGGUCCGUAGGCGGAUUAAUCAGUCAGUGGUGAAAUCUCAUAGCUUAACUAUGAAACUGCCAUUGAUACUGUUAGUCUUGAGUGAUGUUGAA